CCUACGGGAGGCAGCAGUGAGGAAUAUUGGUCAAUGGACGCAAGUCUGAACCAGCCAUGCCGCGUGCAGGAAGACUGCCCUAUGGGUUGUAAACCUCUUUUGUCAGGGAGCAACGCCGGCUACGUGUAGCCGGACUGAGAGUACCUGAAGAAAAAGCAUCGGCUAACUCCGUGCCAGCAGCCGCGGUAAUACGGAGGGUCCGAGCGUUAUCCGGAUUUAUUGGGUUUAAAGGGAGCGUAGGUGGAUUGUUAAGUCAGUUGUGAAAGUUUGCGGCUCAACCGUAAAAUUGAAGUUGAAACUGGCAGUCUGGAGUACAGUAGAGGUGGGAGGAAUUCGUGGUGUAGCGGUGAAAUGCUUAGAUAUGACGAAGAACUCCGAUUGCGAAGGCAGUUCACUGGACUGCAACUGACACUGAGGCUCGAAAGUGUGGGUAUCAAACAGGAUUAGAUACCCUAGUAGUC
RNAcentral lists this ribosomal RNA (461 nucleotides) under uncultured bacterium. Its description in RNAcentral is "partial 16S ribosomal RNA". It matches the Rfam family "Bacterial small subunit ribosomal RNA", at positions 338 to 795 of the family's 1533-position model. The record is from RNAcentral.